Molecule: non-coding RNA, 124 nt
Organism: Triticum aestivum (bread wheat)
Lineage: Eukaryota; Viridiplantae; Streptophyta; Magnoliopsida; Poales; Poaceae
Source: Rfam
CAAAUACUCCCUCCGUCCGGAAAUACUUGUCGGAGAAAUGGAUAAAAAUGGAUGUAUCUAGAACUAAAAUACGCUAGAUACAUCCAUUUCUCCGACAAGUAUUUUCGGACGGAGGGAGUAUUAG